This 445-nucleotide ribosomal RNA is filed under the name uncultured bacterium. RNAcentral describes it as "bacterial SSU rRNA". It matches the Rfam family "Bacterial small subunit ribosomal RNA", at positions 355 to 823 of the family's 1533-position model. The record is from RNAcentral.
UGGGGAAUCUUGGACAAUGGGCGCAAGCCUGAUCCAGCCAUGCCGCGUGGAUGAUGAAGGCCUUAGGGUUGUAAAAUCCUUUCGUUGGGGACGAUAAUGACGGUACCCAAAGAAGAAGCUCCGGCUAACUUCGUGCCAGCAGCCGCGGUAAUACGAAGGGGGCUAGCGUUGUUCGGAUUUACUGGGCGUAAAGCGCGUGUAGGCGGGUCGUUAAGUUGGGGGUGAAAUCCCGAGGCUCAACCUCGGAACUGCCUUCAAAACUGGCGACCUGGACCUAAGUAGAGGCAAGUGGAAUUGCGAGUGUAGAGGUGAAAUUCGUAGAUAUUCGCAGGAACACCAGUGGCGAAGGCGACUUGCUGGACUUAUGGUGACGCUGAGACGCGAAAGCGUGGGGAGCAAACAGGAUUAGAUACCCAUGUAGUCCCUGAGCGGGCUGGCAAGGCGC